RNAcentral lists this long non-coding RNA (403 nucleotides) under Nicotiana tabacum (common tobacco). RNAcentral's name for it is "long non-coding RNA (NTAB_LNC013070)". Lineage: Eukaryota; Viridiplantae; Streptophyta; Magnoliopsida; Solanales; Solanaceae. The record is from RNAcentral.
AAAAAUGAGGAAAGGUCAAGGCGGGGCAGUGACUAUGGUUCCUUAGGUCGUAUUUGAUGGCCAGGUAAAAUUUUAGGCUAUCGGGGGCCGGGGUCUAGGGACCACUUUGAAGGCAUGGUAUAGCACACGAAAAUAUGGGAAUCGGGCGGAAUUCUAGUUUUUUGGCCAAAAAAAGCAAAAAAUGAGGAACGAUCAUGGCGGGGCGGUGACUAUGGUUCCCUAGGUCGUAUUUGAUGGCCCGAAAAAAUUUUAGGCGAUCCGAGUCAGGGGGCCCGGCCCACUCGGAAGGCGUGGGCUAUAGCACACGGAAAAUAUGGGAAUCGGGCGGAAUUCUAGUUUUUUGGCCGAAAAAUGUAAAAAAUGAGGAACGAUCAUGGCGGGGCGGUGACUAUGGUUCCUUAGG